This 493-nucleotide ribosomal RNA is filed under the name uncultured bacterium. RNAcentral's name for it is "bacterial SSU rRNA". It matches the Rfam family "Bacterial small subunit ribosomal RNA", at positions 28 to 413 of the family's 1533-position model. The record is from RNAcentral.
GAUGAACGCUGGCGGCGUGCCUAAUACAUGCAAGUCGAGCGGCAGCGGGCUCAUAGUUUAUUUCUUACCUUCGAGUACAGGAAUAGCGAUUUCAAUGAAAUCGUGUUUUCUAAACCGAAGGAGUGAAGCUUCCGGACUAGCUAUUAAUUUAAGCUAGACCAGAGGUAAGGAAUGAAGUAUGAGCGCCGGCGAGCGGCGGACGGCUGAGUAACGCGUGGGAACGUGCCCCAAAGUGAGGGAUAAGCACCGGAAACGGUGUCUAAUACCGCAUAUGAUCUUCGGAUUAAAGCUUUAUGCGCUUUGGGAGCGGCCUGCGUCCGAUUAGCUAGUUGGUGAGGUAAAGGCUCACCAAGGCUACGAUCGGUAACUGGUUUGAGAGGAUGAUCAGUCAGACUGGAACUGAGACACGGUCCAGACUCCUACGGGAGGCAGCAGUAAGGAAUCUUCCACAAUGGGGCAACCCUGAUGGAGCAACGCCGCGUGCAGGAUGUAA